CCUACGGGAGGCAGCAGUGAGGAAUAUUGGUCAAUGGGCGCGAGCCUGAACCAGCCAAGUCGCGUGAGGGAAGACGGUCCUAUGGAUUGUAACCCUCUUUUGUCGGGGCGCAAAAGACGCCACGCGUUGCGUUCCGAGAGUACCCGAAGAAAAAGCCUCGGCUAACUCCGUGCCAGCAGCGGCGGUCAUACGGAGGAUGCGAGCGUUAUCCGGAUUUAUUGGGUUUAAAGGGUGCGCAGGCGGAAGAUCAAGUCAGCGGUAACAUUGAGAGGCUCAACCUCUUCGAGCCGUUGAAACUGGUUUUCUUGAGUGAUCGAGAAGUAUGCGGAAUGCGGGGUGUAGCGGUGAAAUGCAUAGAUAUCACGCAGAACUCCGAUUGCGAAGGCAGCAUACCGGCGCUCAACUGACGCUCAUGCACGAAAGUGUGGGUAGCGAACAGGAUUAGAUACCCUUGUAGUC
RNAcentral lists this ribosomal RNA (459 nucleotides) under uncultured bacterium. RNAcentral's name for it is "partial 16S ribosomal RNA". It matches the Rfam family "Bacterial small subunit ribosomal RNA", at positions 338 to 795 of the family's 1533-position model. The record is from RNAcentral.